Molecule: ribosomal RNA, 540 nt
Filed under: uncultured Geobacteraceae bacterium
Lineage: Bacteria; Pseudomonadati; Thermodesulfobacteriota; Desulfuromonadia; Geobacterales; Geobacteraceae
Description: bacterial SSU rRNA
Rfam family: Bacterial small subunit ribosomal RNA
Source: RNAcentral
GAGUUUGAUCCUGGCUCAGAACGAACGCUGGCGGCGUGCCUAACACAUGCAAGUCGAACGGAUUUGAGAAGCUUGCUUCUCAAGUUAGUGGCGCACGGGUGAGUAACGCGUAGAUAAUCUGCCUGAUGAUCUGGGAUAACACUUCGAAAGGGGUGCUAAUACCGGAUAAGCCCACGGAGUCUUUGGACUUUGCGGGAAAAGGGGGGGACCUUCGGGCCUUCUGUCAUCARAUGAGUCUGCGUACCAUUAGCUAGUUGGUAGGGUAAAGGCCUACCAAGGCUACGAUGGUUAGCUGGUCUGAGAGGAUGAUCAGCCACACUGGAACUGAGACACGGUCCAGACUCCUACGGGAGGCAGCUGUGGGGAAUUUUGCGCAAUGGGGGAAACCCUGACGCAGCAACGCCGCGUGAGUGAUGAAGGCUUUCGGGUCGUAAAGCUCUGUCGAGGGGAAAGAAAUGUACGAGGGCUAAUAUCCAUGAUACUUGACGGUACCCCUAAAGGAAGCACCGGCUAACUCCGUGCCAGCAGCCGCGGUAAUAC